This 466-nucleotide ribosomal RNA is filed under the name uncultured bacterium. RNAcentral's name for it is "partial 16S ribosomal RNA". It matches the Rfam family "Bacterial small subunit ribosomal RNA", at positions 28 to 507 of the family's 1533-position model. The record is from RNAcentral.
GAUGAACGCUGGCGGCGUGCUUAACACAUGCAAGUCGAACGGAAAGGCCCAAGCUUGCUUGGGUACUCGAGUGGCGAACGGGUGAGUAACACGUGGGUGAUCUGCCCUGCACUUCGGGAUAAGCCUGGGAAACUGGGUCUAAUACCGGAUAGGACCACAUUUUGGAUGGUGUGGUGGAAAGUUUUUCGGUGUGGGAUGAGCUCGCGGCCUAUCAGCUUGUUGGUGGGGUAAUGGCCUACCAAGGCGUCGACGGGUAGCCGGCCUGAGAGGGUGUACGGCCACAUUGGGACUGAGAUACGGCCCAGACGCCUACGGGAGGCAGCAGUGGGGAAUAUUGCACAAUGGGCGCAAGCCGGAUGCAGCGACGCCGCGUGGGGGAUGACGGCCUUCGGGUUGUAAACUCCUUUCGCUAGGGACGAAGCGUUAUGUGACGGUACCUGGAGAAGAAGCACCGGCUAACUACGUG